RNAcentral lists this ribosomal RNA (496 nucleotides) under uncultured bacterium. RNAcentral's name for it is "partial 16S ribosomal RNA". It matches the Rfam family "Bacterial small subunit ribosomal RNA", at positions 28 to 506 of the family's 1533-position model. The record is from RNAcentral.
GAUGAACGCUGGCGGCGUGCCUAAUACAUGCAAGUCGAGCGAACAGACGAGGAGCUUGCUCCUCUGACGUUAGCGGCGGACGGGUGAGUAACACGUGGAUAACCUACCUAUAAGACUGGGAUAACUUCGGGAAACCGGAGCUAAUACCGGAUAAUAUAUUGAACCGCAUGGUUCAAUAGUGAAAGACGGUUUUGCUGUCACUUAUAGAUGGAUCCGCGCCGCAUUAGCUAGUUGGUAAGGUAACGGCUUACCAAGGCAACGAUGCGUAGCCGACCUGAGAGGGGGAACGGCCACAAUGGAAUUGAGACACGGUCCAGACUCCUACGGGAGGCAGCAGAGGGGAAUCUUCCGCAAUGGGGGAAAGCCUGAGGGAGCAACGCCGGGGGAGGGAGGAAGGUUUUUGGAUCGUAAAACUCUGUUAUUAGGGAAAAAAAAAUGUGUAAGUAACUAUGCACGUUUUGACGGUACCAAAUCAGAAAGCAACGGCUAACUACGU